GAUCAUGGCUCAGAUUGAACACUGGCGGCAUGCCUAACACAUGCAAGUCGAACGAGACCUUCGGGUCUAGUGGCGCACGGGUGCGUAACGCGUGGGAAUCUGCCCUUGGGUUCGGAAUAACAGUUAGAAAUGACUGCUAAUACCGGAUAAUGUCUUCGGACCAAAGAUUUAUCGCCCAGGGAUGAGCCCGCGUAGGAUUAGCUAGUUGGUGAGGUAAAGGCUCACCAAGGCGACGAUCCUUAGCUGGUCUGAGAGGAUGAUCAGCCACACUGGGACUGAGACACGGCCCAGACUCCUACGGGAGGCAGCAGUGGGGAAUAUUGGACAAUGGGCGAAAGCCUGAUCCAGCAAUGCCGCGUGAGUGAUGAAGGCCUUAGGGUUGUAAAGCUCCUUUACCCGGGAUGAUAAUGACAGUACCGGGAGAAUAAGCCCCGGCUAACUCCGUG
This 446-nucleotide ribosomal RNA is filed under the name uncultured bacterium. RNAcentral's name for it is "bacterial SSU rRNA". It matches the Rfam family "Bacterial small subunit ribosomal RNA", at positions 15 to 507 of the family's 1533-position model. The record is from RNAcentral.